UGGGGAAUAUUGGGCAAUGGGCGCAAGCCUGACCCAGCAACGCCGCGUGAAGGAAGAAGGCUUUCGGGUUGUAAACUUCUUUUCUUAGGGACGAAGCAAGUGACGGUACCUAAGGAAUAAGCCACGGCUAACUACGUGCCAGCAGCCGCGGUAAUACGUAGGUGGCAAGCGUUAUCCGGAUUUACUGGGUGUAAAGGGCGUGUAGGCGGGAUUGCAAGUCAGAUGUGAAAACCACGGGCUCAACCUGUGGCCUGCAUUUGAAACUGUAGUUCUUGAGUACUGGAGAGGCAGACGGAAUUCCUAGUGUAGCGGUGAAAUGCGUAGAUAUUAGGAGGAACACCAGUGGCGAAGGCGGUCUGCUGGACAGCAACUGACGCUGAGGCGCGAAAGCGUGGGGAGCAAACAG
This 406-nucleotide ribosomal RNA is filed under the name uncultured bacterium. Its description in RNAcentral is "bacterial SSU rRNA". It matches the Rfam family "Bacterial small subunit ribosomal RNA", at positions 355 to 775 of the family's 1533-position model. The record is from RNAcentral.